UCUACGGGAGGCAGCAGUAAGGAAUAUUGCGCAAUGGGCGACAGCCUGACGCAGCGACGCCGCGUGGGGGAUGAAGGUCUUCGGAUUGUAAACCCCUUUCGGCAGGGAAGAUGGAACGGGAAACCGUUCGGACGGUACCUGCAGAAGCAGCCACGGCUAACUUCGUGCCAGCAGCCGCGGUAAUACGAAGGUGGCAAGCGUUGUUCGGAUUUACUGGGCGUACAGGGAGCGUAGGCGGUUGGGUAAGCCCUUCGUGAAAUCUCCGGGCCUAACCCGGAAAGUGCGGAGGGGACUGCUCGGCUAGAGGAUGGGAGAGGAGCGCGGAAUUCCCGGUGUAGCGGUGAAAUGCGUAGAGAUCGGGAGGAAGGCCGGUGGCGAAGGCGGCGCUCUGGAACAUUUCUGACGCUGAGGCUCGAAAGCGUGGGGAGCAAACAGGAUUAGAUACCCUGGUAGUCCACGCCUUAAACGAUGGAUACUAAGUGUCGGCGGGUUACCGCCGGUGCCGCAGCUAACGCAGUAAGUAUCCCGCCUGGGAAGUACGGCCGCAAGGUUGAAACUCAAAUGAAUUGACGGA
RNAcentral lists this ribosomal RNA (574 nucleotides) under uncultured bacterium. RNAcentral describes it as "bacterial SSU rRNA". It matches the Rfam family "Bacterial small subunit ribosomal RNA", at positions 338 to 917 of the family's 1533-position model. The record is from RNAcentral.